UACGGGGGGGGCAAGCGUUGUUCGGAAUUACUGGGCGUAAAGGGCGCGUAGGCGGCCUGCUAAGUCGAUCGUGAAAUCCCCGGGCUUAACCCGGGAACUGCGACCGAUACUGGUUGGCUUGAAUUCGGGAGAGGGAUGCGGAAUUCCAGGUGUGGCGGUGAAAUGCGUAGAUAUCUGGAGGAACACCGGUGGCGAAGGCGGCAUCCUGGACCGGCAUUGACGCUGAGACGCGAAAGCCAGGGGAGCAAACGGG
RNAcentral lists this ribosomal RNA (253 nucleotides) under uncultured bacterium. RNAcentral's name for it is "partial 16S ribosomal RNA". It matches the Rfam family "Bacterial small subunit ribosomal RNA", at positions 524 to 776 of the family's 1533-position model. The record is from RNAcentral.